UGGGGAAUUUUGGACAAUGGGCGCAAGCCUGAUCCAGCAAUGCCGCGUGUGUGAAGAAGGCCUUCGGGUUGUAAAGCACUUUUGUCCGGAAAGAAAACCUCGGUCCUAAUACGGCGGGGGGAUGACGGUACCGGAAGAAUAAGCACCGGCUAACUACGUGCCAGCAGCCGCGGUAAUACGUAGGGUGCGAGCGUUAAUCGGAAUUACUGGGCGUAAAGCGUGCGCAGGCGGUUCGUUAAGACAGAUGUGAAAUCCCCGGGCUUAACCUGGGAACUGCAUUUGUGACUGGCGGGCUAGAGUAUGGCAGAGGGGGGUAGAAUUCCACGUGUAGCAGUGAAAUGCGUAGAGAUGUGGAGGAAUACCGAUGGCGAAGGCAGCCCCCUGGGCCAAUACUGACGCUCAUGCACGAAAGCGUGGGGAGCAAACAGGAUUAGAUACCCUGGUAGUCCACGCCCUAAACGAUGUCAACUAGUUGUCGGGUCUUCAUUGACUUGGUAACGUAGCUAACGCGUGAAGUUGACCGCCUGGGGAGUACGGUCGCAAGAUUA
Molecule: ribosomal RNA, 548 nt
Filed under: uncultured Burkholderia sp.
Lineage: Bacteria; Pseudomonadati; Pseudomonadota; Betaproteobacteria; Burkholderiales; Burkholderiaceae
Description: bacterial SSU rRNA
Rfam family: Bacterial small subunit ribosomal RNA
Source: RNAcentral